UACGUAGGGUGCAAGCGUUAAUCGGCAUUACUGGGCGUAACGCGCGCGCAGGCGGUUAUGCAAGUCAGAUGUGAAAUCCCCGGGCUUAACCUGGGAACCGCAUUUGUGACUGCAUAGCUGGAGUACGGCAGGGGGGGAUGGAAUUCCGCGUGUAGCAGUGAAAUGCGUAGAUAUGCGGAGGAACACCGAUGGCGAAGGCAGUCCCCUGGGCCUGUACUGACGCUCAUGCACGAAAGCGUGGGGAGCAAACAGG
This 253-nucleotide ribosomal RNA is filed under the name uncultured bacterium. Its description in RNAcentral is "partial 16S ribosomal RNA". It matches the Rfam family "Bacterial small subunit ribosomal RNA", at positions 524 to 776 of the family's 1533-position model. The record is from RNAcentral.